Molecule: long non-coding RNA, 10118 nt
Filed under: Nicotiana benthamiana
Lineage: Eukaryota; Viridiplantae; Streptophyta; Magnoliopsida; Solanales; Solanaceae
Description: long non-coding RNA (NBEN_LNC003180)
Source: RNAcentral
CAUAAUCCAACGGCUCACAUUAAAAUCCCAAUUCUAAUACACCAAAGACCCUUACCCCCUCUCAUUCCAUUCCCCAUCCAAAGGCCCUUCGUAUCCAAAGACCCCUCCCACUGAAACCCUAGCCACUACCCCUUCCCCUCACCUGAAACCCUGCGGCAACGACGCCGGUGGCCACCAAACCCACACCCCUGAACCUUCGAACCACCCUCAGUCCAAAUCUAUACCCCUUUAACCUCGAAUCAUCCUAGGCCGUCUCGAAUCUUCAAUCGAAGAAUCGAGCAAAACUCUGACCUACCCAAUCAGCCCCCAAAUUAACACACAGUAAUCCCCUUGGACCCUAAUCCCCAACCAAAUUGGUCGAAUUCGAGUAAAACUCGUCGAAGGGCGGAUCUUAGGUUCGAACGGUUCGCCUGUUUCGAGAGAUGUCAAGGUCGAAUUUUAGUUAAUAUUAUAGGACUAUAUCUGACGAAAUGGACCUAUAAUACUAACUGGAAAUCAAUUUCAAAAAGCAUGAUGGUGAGAGCUGAAAAACAGUAAGCUCUUAUUAGUUUCUUCUUUUUCUAUAUGUUUGAUUUCUGUGUUAAGCCGUAAUUAGUCUAUUCUUUAGGAUUUUAGUUUGAGUUAAUUAUUGGUUCUUAUUCCAGUAAAUAUCCCGCCUGAUAAUUAGGUAUUUUCGAUUCUCUUUUCUUUUCUUUCGUCUUUUAUUUAGUGUUUGAUUCCCCGUCUUCUUUCCUCCCACUUUGUUUCUGUUUUGAUUCUGUGAUUGAACCAAGUCAGUUUGUCUGUAUGCUAAAAAAUUAAGGAUUAGUUCAUCAUAAUAUUUGAAUCUCUUAGUCGGUCGUUAUAUUGUUUUGAAUUGCUUGGUCAGUUGAAAUGCUUUGAGAAUACUUUAACUGUUGUUUUGGUUGUCACCUGAACCUACUGUGUCAUUCCCUGUAAGUAUUUUCUGAAUCAUUGAAAUCCUUGGUCUUUGUUUUGUUGCUAUUUGAUUCAACCUGAGUUCAAGCUUAAGCUGUUGUGUGAGUUUGAUAAAUUGAAUCAUGCUGUUUAGGGUCUGAGAUGAAUCGGACAUUUGUUUGAAUUCAGUUUUGGUAUAAUAAUGUUAAUUAGAUAGUAUUGAGUUAUAAGGUUGCAUUCAGAAUUUAAGAGAAUGGUUAUAGCUGUAAUUUUAGAGUUUUUAGGGGUAAUUUGGGAUUUCAAAAACUGGAAAAUGGUUUUGAGUGCUCUGUCAAUAAGCACUAAUGUGCCACUAACUUAAUGCAUUUGUUUAAAAAUAGUGGGGAACAAAACAUAAUGGUAUGGGGAGGUUUAAAGGGAGUGAUUAAACAAAUAUGCACCCAUAACAAUUGAAUUAAACAAUUAGAAUGGGACAUAUAGUAGUGGGGUUCUAGUUUGGCUAUAAAUACUGGCAGACUUGGACAGGGUUAGGGACAGUGGAAAAAGAACAGGAGGAGCUUGAAAACACUGAAAAAAUACUGAGGGUUCAGAGAGAGUUUUAAAAAGCUCUCUUUUCUGAAAAUUUCACUUCCUCUUUAAUCAAUCUGAGAGAACACUUCUUAGUGUCCUUCCUUAAUCAAUCUAAGGGAGCACUUUGAGAGCUUAAGGUCAGUCUUUUUUAGUCCUGGAAUCAGUCUGAAAUCAGUUUAAAAGGGAGUUUUGAGAGAGUUCUUAGACAGUCUUGAGGGAGUUUGAAAACAUUGAGAAAAAGUGAAUAUUGUUCCAUUGAUCCUCCUCACUAUUUUUCAGUUUCGAACUAGAAUUCAAUCCCUUUGCCUGUUUGCUUCGAGCCUGUGAGUUUGAGUCAGUUGGUAAAUCAGUUGGUUGCUUAUACUUCAGUCCCUGGUUCAUACUUGAGUUUUUGGUUUUCUGUUGAGGCUGUUCUAUCAGUUCUGUUUGCUUUUCGAACUGUUCUGGGUAUUGAACUUGAUUGGUUGUUGCUGUUGGAAUUUGCUGGUUGUUCAUACUGCUGUGACUUGAUGUGUUAUUGUUGUUGACUACUCUUUCUUCUUCUUGUAUCUUCAUUAUCCAUGUACACAUCCUGAGGUUAUUAUCGUGUAAAUCUCCAGUCAAAUUAAUGAAAUGAAGUUGAAGCGUGUUCUGUUGUAGAUUUUGUUUAUUCUCUAUACUUAAAUAUUUUAGUGUAAUUAAUCUAGGUUAGACUGUUGAGACUCUUGAACCUUUUAAUUUUGAUAUGGCAUAAGCCUGUUUUCACACAUCAGUUUGAUUUUUGGGUAAUCGAAGAUUAAAGUGCAUCUGAAAUUGUGUAAAUGGAUUAUAAACCAUUUUGAGUUAGAUAAAUUGUGAAUUGCUAUGUCUCGAAUGAAUGUGAGUUUUUCUUUUGAGUUUGAAUACAAGUUGUAAUCAAGUUUAUGUUAGGUUAUUAGAAUAAUUUGGGUUAGUUUUAGCUAAUCUCUUAUCAUGUGUUUUGUAAGCCCGUUUGAAAAGUAAUUCGACAAUAAGUAAACCUUUGGUAGUUUUUUUUAUAUUUUAAGUGAUAAUCAAAUCAGAUCUUGAGUCUGGCAGGCAUGCAUCAUUUGUGCUUGGGCUAUCUGGGCCUCAGUCUGAAAUAGCAACUUGACCAUUAGUAUUUAAAUGGCAGGCUGUGGGUUUUAGCUUAGGUAGCCGGUUCAAAUUAAAGGGCGCUCCCUUUUGUUUGGAUCCGGACUUGAACUUGAAACCAGAAUUUUAUAACAUUAAGUAAUUAAGGCCUUUUCUUUAUUUCUUUUAAAGACAAUAUAAUUAGAAGAUUAUAGUCACUUUAGGACAUUCUUAAAUAAAAAUAAGACAAGCCUCGCCAAACAAAGCACAUAAAUUGCGGCACCCUCAAUGAAUAGCUGUAAUAAAUAUAUAGAAUUUGGGAUAGGCCGUUUAGCAAAUUUUUCGGCAUUCCUCAAAAUAAUAACGUGUUAGUCACUUUAGGUGCGAUUUUAAUAAAAUUACCUCCUUAAACUCGGGUGUGCAUUUCAUGAGACCCAAAAUUGAAUCCCAAAACGUCGGAUAAAAUGUGAUGCAAUGCAAAGACAUAUUUUAAAUGAUGUUCAACUUUCUUUAAUAAACGAAUAAAAGUGGUUAAAAUUUAAAAUUGGCACAUAGGUUCAAAUGUAUUAAAGUCAGGCAAAUAAUCUAAACAUGACAGUUGGGCUACCGUGCUAGAACCACGUAAAAUGAGAAUGCCUAGCACCUUUUACCGUGUUAACAGAAUUUCUUACUUGGAUUUCUGGUUCACGGACUAUAAUACAGAGAAUCUUUUUUUGGAUUUGGGAUUCAACUUGUGACUUGUGACACCAUAAAUUUCUCAUUUGACGACUUUGAAUCUUAAUAACAUAUCUCAUUUCGAUUCUCCUUUAAUUGGAAAAACUCCCUAAUUCCCUACGCCCUGCGGGCGUGUGUAAAAAGGAGGUGUGACAACCACUUACGGGUCUUUGGUAGGCUGUGUUAUGCCCUCAGCUAGAAAAGCUGAUAAAUUCAGUCCCAUGGUCAUUCCUGUUGUACAUCUGGGCUACUCUUUUGUGCAAAAGGGAUACAUUUUGUAUGAUCUUCACUUUAAAAUGUUCUUUGUAAGCAGGUACCCUGUCUUUAAGGAGGAUCUUUUUCCCUUCAAGCAUGUUAUAUCCAGUGUCUAUCCUUUAUUUCCUAUUUUGGAUCUUUCAGAAGCUAAUUUCUAUUCUCUCAAUUCCAUUCCUGCUCCUUUGAACACUAUAGCCGAGUCACAUUCUUUUGUUUCUAGUUAGCCUAUUUGUCCUAGACAACUAGUUUUUUAUCAUUAUCUACAGUCAAACUCCUCAAAUACUUCUGAUCCACCUCGUAUUAGGAAAUCGUAGGACUUAUGUCCUCCUAUAUGGUUGAAAGAUUAUGUUGUACCCUCCAAAGGAGCAGCCUAUAAUUACUCUAUUUCCCAGUAUGUUUACUAUGAUAAGUUGUCUCAUGCAUAUCAGGCUUGUCUUGUUGCCUACUAAGCUGUUUGAGCCUACCUCCUAUGCUGAGGUAAGUACUGAUCCUAAGUGGAUAGAAGCCAUGCAAGCUGAAAUUGAUGCUCUUGAAGAGAAUCAGACCUGGUCCAUUGUAGACCUUCCUCCUGGCAAGGUUCCUAUUAGUUGAAAGUAGGUAUUCAAGGUUAAAUAUAAGUCUAUUAGGGAGGUAGAGAUAAGUAAAGCUCGACUGUUUGCUAAGGGGUAUAGUUAGCUUGAAGGUCUGGAUUACAAAGAGACUUUCUCUCAUAUGGCCAAAAUGGUCACAGAGAGGCCUGUAGUGGCUUGGCUGCAGCAUCUGACUGGUUUAUGUUCUAAAUGGAUGUGCACAAUUCAUUUUUUCAAGAAGAUCUUCUUGAAGAGGUCGAUGUGCAAAUCUCAGAUGGCUUUUCCAGCUAAAGGGAGUGCCAUCAAUAUGUAUGUAGACUACAUAAGUUCUUGUACAGACUCAAGCAGGCCCCUAGACAGCGGAACCUGAAGUUUCCUUCUGCUCUGAAGGGUAUGGGAUUCAUAUAGUCUCAUUAUGAUUACUCUCUUUUCACACAAAGGAUAGAUGGCUAUCUGAUAGUAAUUCCGGUAUAUGUUGAUGACCUUGUGGUUACUGGGAAUAACUUUGAGCUUAUUUAUCAAGUACGGACAUAUUUGCAAGCUAAGUUCAAAAUGAAAGACGUGGGAGAAUUAAAAGUCUUUCUGGUAAUUGAUUUCUCCAUAUCUAAAGAAGGAAUCCUUAUGAAUCAAAGAAAAUAUGCUCUUGAGUUAGUGUCUGAGCUGGGAUUAGCUGGUGGAAAGCAAGUUGCUACACCUCUUGAGUUCAAUCAGAAACUCACCUCAGUAGCAUUUGACAAAUUCAUGAACAGGGGAGAAGCAUCCACAGAUGCACAACUUAGAGGAUCCAUGUAGCUAUCAGAGAUUGGCGGGCAGAUAGCUAUACUUGACAAUGACAAAGUCAGAUAUUGCCUUUGUUGUUCAAGUACUUAGUCAUCAUAUGUAUGCUCCCAAGCAGUCAUAUACGGUAAAAGCAACACAAGUGGUCAAGUAUGUCAAGGGUACUGCAGGACUGGGACUGUUUAUGCCACCAAAACGAAACAAGCAACUAGUUGCCUAUUGUUAUUCAAAUUGGGGUUCAUGUAUGGAGUCAAGAAAUUCUAUCGAUGGUUAUAUAGUUGAGUUUGGUAGAGUUUUAAUCUCUUGUAAAUCCAAGAAGCAAAUCACAGUUUCUAGGAGCUCCGCUGAAUCGAAAUUCAAAAGUAUGGCAGCUACUGUUGUGGAACUUGCUUGGCUAGUUGGCUUGUUUAGAGAGCUAGGAGUUACAGUGAACACUCUUGUACAAUUUUUCUGUGAUAGCAAAGCUGCUAUAUAGAUUGCAGCACACCACAUAUUUCAUGCAAGGACAAAACUAUUUUGACAUUGAUCGCCAUUUUGUAAGAGAAAAAAUUCAGGGUGGUCAAAUUCAGACUCAACAUAUUAGGAAUGAGGAAUAUGCUGUUGAUCUAAUUACCAAGAAUCUAUGCAAACCACAACAUGAGUACUUGAUUGGCAAGUUGGGAAUGAAUAACCUCCUACAUCCCUCGACUUGAGGGGAAGUGUUGAGAAGUAUGUACAUAAUAGAAAUUAGCUAGACGGUUAGAAGUUAGUUAGUGGGUUAGUGCACAACUGUCAACAACUAAUAUUUUCUUUUUAAGGAGUUAGUAGUUAGUGAUUGUGUGUGUGUGUGUGUGUGUAUAUAUAUAUAUAUAUAUAUAUAUAUAUAUAUAUAUGUGCAGGACUGGGAUUGUUUAUGCCAGUAAUACGAAACAAGCAACUAGUUGCCUAUUGUUAUUCAAAUUGGGGUUCAUGUGUGGAGUCAAUAAAUUCUAUCGAUGGUUAUAUAGUUAAGUUUGGUGGAGUUUAAAUCUCUUGGAAAUCUAAGAAGAAAAGCACAGUUUCUAGGAGUUCCGCUGAAUCGAAAUUCAAAAGUAUGGCAGCUACUGUUGCGGAAGUUAUUUGGCUAGUUGGCUUGUUUAGAGAGCUAGGAGUUACAGUGAACACCUCUUGUAGAGUUGUUACUGUUUAUGCCAGCAAAACGAAACAAGCAACUAGUUGCCUAUUGUUAUUCAAAUUGGGGUUCAUGUGUAGAGUUAAGAAAUUCUAUCGAUGUUAUAUAGUUAAGUUUGAUGGAGUUUUAAUCUCUUGGAAAUCCAUGAAGCAAAGCACAGUUUCUAGGAGUUCCGCUGAAUCGAAAUUCAAAAGUAUGGCAUCUAUUGUUGCGGAAGUUACUUGGCUAGUUGGCUUGUUUAGAGAGCUAGGAGUUAGAGUGAACACUCUUGUACAGUUGUUCUGUGAUAGUAAAGCUGCUAUAUAGAUUGCAGCACACCACAUGUUUCAUGCAAGGGCAAAACUAUUUUGACAUUGAUUGUCAUUUUGUAAGGGAAAAAAUUCAGGGUGGUCAAAUUCAGACUCAACAUAUUGGGACUAAGGAAUAGGCUGUUGAUCUACUUACCAAGAAUCUAUGCAAACCAUAACAUGAGUACUUGAUUGGCAAGUUGGGAAUGAAGAACCUCCUCCAUCCCUCAACUUGAGGGGAAGUGUUGAGAAGUAUGUACAUAAUAGAAAUUAGCUAGACGGUUAGAAGUUAGUUAGUGGGUUAUUGUACAACUGUCAACAACUAAUAUUUUCUUUUUAAGGAGAAUAUAUAUAUAUAUAUAUAUAUAUAUAUAUAUAUAUAUAUGUAUGUAUGUAUGUAUAAAGCAUUAUUCUUUGAAAAUUAGAAAAGUAUGUGAAAUGAAAAAAAUGAGAAUUUGGUUUUUUUAUAAAGUACAAAACUUCAGAAAAAUAAUUCAAAAUUUUCAAUUCAAAGCACUCAUAAGAAUAUAAAAGUAACUCCAAAUUGUAUUCAUGUCUAAACACAAUUCUCAUUUUAAAAUAAUUUUCAACUUGAAAUUUUUUCUUACUUUUUUCAGGAAUUUCACAAUUCGUAUGUCCAAACCCUUCUAAAUUCAAUAAUAAUUCAACUAUCCUUUUUUUUCUUAACCUUAUUGAGAUAAUUUCUAACCGCACAAGUUAUUAUAGUUUGUUUAGAUCAUAAGUUUCAAAAGUCUUUCUCUAUUUCGUGAACUCAAUAUCUAGUCAAAGACCUUCAUGUAAAUUGGGAGUGAGGGAGUAUAAUUUAUGUGAGAAAAAUAAAUGAUAAAUGAGAUUAUAAGAUAUAGUUACGUGACUAAUUAAUGAACAAAGAAAAAUAAUUCACUAAUAACUAAAAUAAGAUUGAGCGAAAAUUAUUUUGGUUAUAUUAAUUAUAGGACAAAAUUAAGUUAUUAAACAAUAUACAUAUGAAAACAAAGCAAUAAAUUAAUCGAUAAUAAAAAAUAAUCAUAUAAAAUAUAUACUAUAAAUAUAGAGAAAUAAUAAUUUUUGGAUCCUUAAAGUUUUGGGGCCUUAAGCAAGUACUUCACUUGUUUUAGGUCUGGUCGGCCCUGUAUUAAUCUUAAUUUGUUUAUUGAAUUAAUAAUAAAUCAAUUCAAGUGGAUCGAACAGACUAUUAUUAAAAGGUAGAUUCUUCAAUGUGUGAAAAUAUUUAAAAGAUCAAUUAAUGUGGAUCAGAGGGUAUUGAGACUAUUGGCUUUUUAUGUAAAGUGGCUAGUGUUGUAAAGUGAUUAUUCAUUUUAGUAGUAUUUGUUUAGAUUAGUAUAUGUAUGUAUACUACAUUUGCACGUGUUAAUAAGGGAGGUUCAUUUUCUGAAUUCCAUCUCCUUCUUCUUCCAGAAUCUUCUUCUUCUCUCUCUCGUAGGAACCUCCAUAACUAUGGUUGUGAUAACUUGAAUUAGGCUAUCUCAGUCAGUUAACAUGAUAUCAGAGCAAGACAUUCCGAUCUACUGCAUCUUUGCUACUUUCUCUUCAAUUUUUACUUGUCAAUUUUGAAUUUCAUCCCAAAUCGAUUGAUCGUCGAAGAAAUUUUCAUUUUUGCCCUAAUUUUGCGUCAAAGAAGAGGUUUCCGCUUCUAAACUGCAUAAUCAUACAUCUCAACCUUAUUAGUGAUGGUCGUAAAUGAUUUGAGUGAUGCAACUGGCACUAAUGUGCACGUCGGAGUUCCAAGAAAUUAUGGUAUCGAUCCCGGUGAUCCUCUGUAUUUGCACCCGUCGGAUAAUCCCGGUGCUAUGCUUGUUUCAGCUGCCUUCACUGGCAUUGGCUAUCGUUCAUGGAGGAGUAGUGUGUUGCGAGGUCUAUCAGUGAAGAAUAAGCUAGGGUUCAUAAAUGGCGAGUGCAAGAUCUCAAAUCCCCAGUCACCUAUGUUCCGACAGUGGAUACGUGUCGAUGAUAUGGUGACUUCGUGGAUCCUCAAUUCUCUGUCAAAGGAGAUAGCAGACAGUGUUGAAUAUGGAAAUGAUUCCAUGGAGUUAUGGAUCGAAUUAAUAGAGAUGUACUAGCAGACAAAUGGAGCUAGAUUAUAUCAAAUACAAGAAGAGAUAAAUGAUCCAUCUCAAGGAACUCUCGACAUUACCAGUUAUUACAUCAAAUUGAAGAAACUUUGAGAAGAGUUGAGUACCUUAAGUGAAAUCUCAAUGCACAUGUAGUUGCAGUUGUGGAGCAAAAGGAAAAUUUCUACAAAGCUGAACAAGAUAGGCGGUAAAUACAAUUUCUCAUGGGCCUAAUUAAAACUUACACUGUAAUUUGAGGUAGCAUUGUGAUGAUGAAUCCACUCCCCAAUCUUGCUCAAGAAUUUUCUCUCCUAAUACAGGAUGAGAAGCAAAGGGAAAUCAAACCUCAUACUCAGCUAUUUAUUGAGUCAACCUCCACGAAUGUCACCAGCUCCAAACCUAGUGGCUAUAGAACCAACUACUCACCUAACAAUGCACAUGUAGUUGCAGUUGUGGAGCAAAGGAAAAUUUCUACAAAGCUGAACAAGAUAGGCGGUAAGUACAAUUUCUCAUGGGCCUAAUUAAAACUUACACUGUAAUUUGAGGUAGCAUUGUGAUGAUGAAUCCACUCCCCAAUCUUGCUCAAGAAUUUUCUCUCCUAAUACAGGAUGAGAAGCAAAGGGAAAUCAAACCUCAUACUCAGCUAUUUAUUGAGUCAACCUCCACGAAUGUCACCAGCUCCAAACCUAGUGGCUAUAGAACCAACUACUCACCUAACAAUAAUCACAUUGGAUAAGGUGGACAAGGAAUGGGAAGACCUAUGUGUGAUUACUGUAAGAAAACAGGGCACACCAAGGAUAAAUAUUUCAAACUCCAUGGUUAUCCUGAGAAUUUGGACAUUCUUGAAACCAGAACUAUAAUCCAAAUCAGCAAUUCAAUCGCAAUCAAAAUUUCAAUAAAGGAAAGAGAGUCGUGGCAAGUGUUCAUGGGGACCAUUCAUCUGAAAUAUUAUCCAACAAAGAAGAUGAACAAAAUGACCUAAAUGCAGACCAAACUAUCAGCCUUUCAAAGGAACAUUAUGGACAAAUUAUGAACUUACUUCAACACUUUCAAGCUGGCAAUGGAGGAGAAUAUGCAAAUCCAAAUAACUCUAUCAAUGGAACCUCUAUCAAUGGAACUGUGAACUUUGCAUGCAUAAUAGUCUGCACUUCUUCUAUAGAUUUUGGUAAACUGUCAUGUCAGUGUCUCAAAAACAAAGCCGAGUCUUGGAUUCUAGACUCAGGGGCAUCAAACCAUACGACUUUCAAUAAACCCUUACUGACUAACAUCAUAAUGUUACCUUAUCCUAUCCUAGUUGUUUUGCCAAAUGGAUACAAAGUAAAAGUAAUUGAGAUUGGUAGUGUAACCCUUGUGCCAGACAUCACCUUGCAUAAAGUAAUGUUUGUACCUUCAUUCAGAUUCAACCUCAUUUCUAUUCAUGGUCUGACUAGUGUAAAUCCUAGGAUUUUAGCAGCCUUCACUAACAACCUUUGUGUUAUGCAGGCCCCUUGAAUGAAGAUGCUUCUGGAAAUUGGUAAGGCUUGUGAUGGGCUAUAUCUUCUUUGUCCAAAGUGUUUGAGAAACAAGUAUCCAGGUUCUUCUGUCAGCAAUUCUCCUUGCACACACAACUCACAUCAAUGUCAUAGUUCAAACUGCCAUUCUGGCUCACAUGUACAUAGUUCAUUGUCCACAAAUAAGUGUGUAUCUUUUUCUCCACAUGUAAAUAUUCCAUGUUUGAAUAAUACAAGUUUCUGUUUGAAUUAUUCUGUGUCUAUAU